Stenotrophomonas maltophilia R551-3 is the source of this 93-nucleotide non-coding RNA. Lineage: Bacteria; Pseudomonadati; Pseudomonadota; Gammaproteobacteria; Lysobacterales; Lysobacteraceae. The record is from Rfam.
CUUCCUGGCGGGCGGUGCGUGGGGGCCCUCGGGCCCACCGGUCUAUGGUGCUAUUUCAUCCCGGUUUGCAGCCACGCAUCGUCCGCCACCUCU